CCCUCAGUGCGCGUCUGUGUCCUCAUAGGUCGUCCCUCAGUGCGCGUCUGUGUCCUCAUAGGUCGUCCCUCAGUGCGUGUCUGUGUCCUCGUCACCUCUUCUUAUAAGGACACCAGUCACACAGGAUUAGGAUACACACAUACGACCUCAUUUAACUUUAACCAGGUCUUUAAAGACCCUUCGUCCAAAAGCAGUCACACGCUGAGGUGCUGGGCGUUAGGACUGCAGCAUCUCAGCCCGUAGCAGCCCCCUCCGGUCACACUGGACGACCCAGAGGCGAUCAUGCAGUGGGCAUCGUGUUUGCACAUGUGUUUCCAUGUGAGAGACCCAAAUUCAAGCGUGCCACGGCCCGCGGUGUACCCCAGCAGGGCACGCUCACGGUGGGCGCCCAGGCUCCAGGUGUAAAAAUGGCUUAAUCAG
RNAcentral lists this long non-coding RNA (420 nucleotides) under Equus caballus (horse). RNAcentral's name for it is "lncRNA (ENSECAG00000048968.1)". The record is from RNAcentral. Lineage: Eukaryota; Metazoa; Chordata; Mammalia; Perissodactyla; Equidae.